GUUCUCAUUUACUGGAGAGACAUGAGCAUUUGAGGAAGCUUUAACAAAUACCAACGUCCAGGUUGCAUCAUCAGAAAAUUGGGCCUGAGGUAGGGCCCCCAGGAUAGUGAAGAUGUAAAGAUUUAAUGCUCCUGGGAGAAGAGGUUCAGAAUAAAG
Long non-coding RNA from Lemur catta (Ring-tailed lemur), 156 nucleotides. RefSeq lists it as uncharacterized. The transcript is spliced from 3 exons. NCBI's taxonomy places the organism in Eukaryota, Metazoa, Chordata, Mammalia, Primates, Lemuridae. The record is from RefSeq and is a predicted model, not a curated record.